GUGAUGGUAUCUAGUGUCUCCCAGCGAGAUUUGUUCCUUCUCUUAACAGUUACUAUUAAGAACAAAUUUAUGUUUCCAGCAAAAAAGUUGGCCAGCCCCAGCAAAAAAAAAGAACAGUUCCAGCAAAAAAAGAUCGCCGCCGUGGUCACAGGUGUCAACAAGCAGUCUUCGGAAUCAUCAAUAAGCCAACAGCGAGAAAUAAGUUCAAGAAUUGAGUUCCCUUAACAGGGAAAUAAGGAAGGGAAGAAACAAAUAGGGAACAAUCAGAUGAAGCAUCAAGGAAAAUGGAUUGAACAAUCAGAUGAAGCAUCAAGGAAAAUGGAUUGAACAAUCAGAUGAAGCAUCCAACUCGAGGAGAAGCAUGGUCUGCAAGGAGACCAAUCAUCUUGAGGUGGUUCUUUCAGCUACUGCAUGUUCCAUUACGGAGAAGGGUACUUAGUCGAUCUUAGGAGCCAGACUCUGCUUUCCUUGCAGGGAGAAUUUCAAUAAAUGGUUGUGUGUCAAACAUCACUUCAUGUUGUAGUCCAUUUUUUCCUUUCAAAAGCCACAUUAUGAAAUUUGGCUUUAUAAGAAGUUUCACUUUAUUAUUAGUGGAGAACGGGAGAUAAGGAAAGGGAAGGGAAAAACAGUAAUUCUAGCAACUAGCCAUUGUUCCGUGGCAAAACACAGGUGUUUGUUCUAUUAUGUCCAUCGGAAAUCUUUACGGAGGAGUUGGGACUGAGUGAGUGACAUAGAUUUGCUUGAGGUCACAAAUUCUUUUCUGCUGUUACUUGCAUCUUACUUGAAUUUUUUUCUUCAAGUUCUUCCUGUUUUCCCAUAUCCUCUGCUCUAUAGAAGCUGCUACAUCAAAUUAAGUAAGUGCAUCCUUCUUUUUUGUCCAAGUUUGUUCUAUUCUAUUACUCAGAAGUCUGUACAAGACUGAGAGAGUGAAGCAUAUUUGCUUGAGAUUUGAAUACUUUUUUGAUGUCGGGUUUGUACGCUAUACAGUUUGAUUAAUGAAAACUGAUAAAAGUAGUGGCAAACACUUGAUUGAGUAAGCUACUGGAUUUUACCAGUAAUACACAGUAGUUUCUUGCAAUAUUAUCUGCAUGACAAGAAACACCCAUAUUUGAUUUUGCUCUGUGAUUGGUUCAAAUAUCACUUUUUGGCUAAAGCUGAUUGGAUACGAGUAGUAGUGCCAACAGUAAUAACUUUAAAUAUGAUUUUAUCAUGGCUC
Molecule: long non-coding RNA, 1216 nt
Organism: Triticum aestivum (bread wheat)
Lineage: Eukaryota; Viridiplantae; Streptophyta; Magnoliopsida; Poales; Poaceae
Exons: 4
Source: RefSeq, a predicted model, not a curated record